RNAcentral lists this ribosomal RNA (253 nucleotides) under uncultured prokaryote. RNAcentral's name for it is "partial 16S ribosomal RNA". It matches the Rfam family "Bacterial small subunit ribosomal RNA", at positions 525 to 777 of the family's 1533-position model. The record is from RNAcentral.
ACGGAGGGGGCUAGCGUUGUUCGGAAUUACUGGGCGUAAAGCGCGCGUAGGCGGACCUGCAAGUCGGGGGUGAAAGCCCGAGGCUCAACCUCGGAACUGCCUUCGAUACUGCGGGUCUCGAGUCCGGGAGAGGUGAGUGGAAUUCCUAGUGUAGAGGUGAAAUUCGUAGAUAUUCGGAGGAACACCAGUGGCGAAGGCGGCUCACUGGUCCAUUACUGACGCUGAGGUGCGAAAGCGUGGGGAGCAAACAGGA